AAUAUUGAUGCACAGUAGAUACAAUGUUUUUUGGGUUUUUUUCACAUUCUGUAGGCCUACACAAUGCAGUUUACCUCAAAGUCUGAGAGUUUUGAAUCCAAAGGCUGUCACAACUUCUGUUUUCAGCUCUGGAGGAAGUUCAGCAACUUCAGUAUAGAGAAGCUUUUAGUGCUUGGUCCUGCUGGAAAAAGGUGUCGACUCUGUGCAGUGCUGUCAGUUGAACACUAGGGGAGGUGAUCUUAAUGGACUGAGAGGCUCUCAGGCAGUGUAGACACUGAAGCUUUUCUUUUGCAUCUCCUUCAUGAAUUGCUUUUUUAUUAACAUGAAUAUUAUACACAAGAUUGUGAACAUAAAUAAGUAAAUCACCAAAAAUUACAUUCUAAAUGUGUUUUAUGGACUGAUAUGAUUGUAGUCUAUUGUCCAUCAUGCGUUCUAAGUAUUUUAUCAACUCAUGGGCUUUUCUGCCAUCUGCUGGCCAAAGUCUUGUACAUGCACCUUUGAGUCUUAAAGGAUAGGUUCACAAUUUUUCAAGUCUGUUCUAAAACAAUAGUCAGGUUCCUGUAUGA
Molecule: long non-coding RNA, 566 nt
Organism: Thunnus maccoyii (southern bluefin tuna)
Lineage: Eukaryota; Metazoa; Chordata; Actinopteri; Scombriformes; Scombridae
Exons: 3
Source: RefSeq, a predicted model, not a curated record